UUUGUAUAAUGGGUCAGCGACUUAUAUUCAGUGGCAAGGUUAACCAUCUAGGGGAGCCGUAGGGAAACCGAGUCUUAACUGGGCGUUCAGUCUCUGGAUAUAGACCCGAAACCAGGUGAUCUAGCCAUGGGCAGGUUGAAGGUUGAGUAACAUCAACUGGAGGACCGAACCGACUAAUGUUGAAAAAUUAGCGGAUGACUUGUGGCUAGGGGUGAAAGGCCAAUCAAACCUGGAGAUAGCUGGUUCUCCCCGAAAGCUAUUUAGGUAGCGCCUCGGACGAAUACUACUGGGGGUAGAGCACUGUUAAGGCUAGGGGGUCAUCCCGACUUACCAACCCUUUGCAAACUCCGAAUACCAGUAAGUACUAUCCGGGAGACACACGGCGGGUGCUAACGUCCGUCGUGGAGAGGGAAACAACCCAGACCGCCAGCUAAGGUCCCAAAUUACUACUAAGUGGGAAACGAUGUGGGAAGGCUCAGACAGCCAGGAUGUUGGCUUAGAAGCAGCCAUCAUUUAAAGAAAGCGUAAUAGCUCACUGGUCGAGUCGGCCUGCGCGGAAGAUGUAACGGGGCUAAGUAGUAAACCGAAGCUGCGGCAAUGUGCUUUUGCACAUUGGGUAGGGGAGCGUUCUGUAAGCGGUUGAAGGUGUGUGGUAACGCAUGCUGGACGUAUCAGAAGUGCGAAUGCUGACAUGAGUAACGAUAAAGGGGGUGAAAAACCUCCUCGCCGGAAGACCAAGGGUUCCUGUCCAACGUUAAUCGGGGCAGGGUAAGUCGACCCCUAAGGCGAGGCCGAAAGGCGUAGUCGAUGGGAAACGGGUUAAUAUUCCCGUACUUCUUACAAUUGCGAUGGGGGGACGGAGAAGGCUAGGUGGGCCUGGCGACGGUUGUCCAGGUUCAAGUGCGUAGGCUUAAGA
Molecule: ribosomal RNA, 916 nt
Filed under: Vibrio parahaemolyticus
Lineage: Bacteria; Pseudomonadati; Pseudomonadota; Gammaproteobacteria; Vibrionales; Vibrionaceae
Description: partial 23S ribosomal RNA
Rfam family: Bacterial large subunit ribosomal RNA
Source: RNAcentral